CAACUCUCAACAACGGAUAUCUUGGCUCCCGUAACGAUGAAAAACGCACCGAAAUGCGAUACGUAGUGUGAAUUGCAAAAUUCCGUGAACCAUCGAAUCUUUGAACGCAUAUUGCGCCUGAGGCUUCGGCCGAGGGCAUGUCUGCCUCACCGUCG
This 155-nucleotide ribosomal RNA is filed under the name Myrmecia israelensis. RNAcentral describes it as "Myrmecia israeliensis 5.8S ribosomal RNA". It matches the Rfam family "5.8S ribosomal RNA". From Rfam's summary of the family: 5.8S ribosomal RNA (5.8S rRNA) is a component of the large subunit of the eukaryotic ribosome. It is transcribed by RNA polymerase I as part of the 45S precursor that also contains 18S and 28S rRNA. Lineage: Eukaryota; Viridiplantae; Chlorophyta; Trebouxiophyceae; Trebouxiales; Trebouxiaceae. The record is from RNAcentral.